Molecule: long non-coding RNA, 371 nt
Filed under: Mytilus galloprovincialis (Mediterranean mussel)
Lineage: Eukaryota; Metazoa; Mollusca; Bivalvia; Mytilida; Mytilidae
Source: RNAcentral
CUUCUGAUUAUUAUUAGGUCUUUCCACUUUUCUGUGAAAAGACCUAUUGUUUUUCUUCUGAUUAUUUUUUUUUUUUUCUUCCGCCUAAUUUUGUUCUUGCGAUAAACAUUUGUUUCGCAAUAUGUCGCUUAGAUAUUUUGUAUAUGAUAUCGAACAGUUUAUGCGCUUUUGAAAUUUACCCUGCGUAAACGAAUACUUUUCUUUGUAGGAGUUAUCUCCCCAAACACUGUUUUCCUUGUUAUCGCAUCUCCUUCGCAACCGUUCAAGAUUAUGACAAAUUUAUUUUACAAAAUUGCUCGUUAUAUCCUUCGCAUGAUUUGUCCUAUUUUGACCGAAGCGAUAUGACCGCUCCAUAUGAGAGUUAUUUCCCC